RNAcentral lists this ribosomal RNA (492 nucleotides) under uncultured bacterium. Its description in RNAcentral is "partial 16S ribosomal RNA". It matches the Rfam family "Bacterial small subunit ribosomal RNA", at positions 29 to 507 of the family's 1533-position model. The record is from RNAcentral.
AGUGAACGCUGGCGGUAGGCCUAACACAUGCAAGUCGAACGGCAGCACAGUAAGAGCUUGCUCUUACGGGUGGCGAGUGGCGGACGGGUGAGGAAUACAUCGGAAUCUACUUUUUCGUGGGGGAUAACGUAGGGAAACUUACGCUAAUACCGCAUACGACCUACGGGUGAAAGCAGGGGAUCUUCGGACCUUGCGCGAUUGAAUGAGCCGAUGUCGGAUUAGCUAGUUGGCGGGGUAAAGGCCCACCAAGGCGACGAUCCGUAGCUGGUCUGAGAGGAUGAUCGGCCACACUGGAACUGAGACACGGUCCAGACUCCUACGGGAGGCAGCAGUGGGGAAUAUUGGACAAUGGGCGCAAGCCUGAUCCAGCCAUACCGCGUGGGUGAAGAAGGCCUUCGGGUUGUAAAGCCCUUUUGUUGGGAAAGAAAAGCAGCAGGUUAAAACCCCGAUGUUCUGACGGUACCCAAAGAAUAAGCACCGGCUAACUUCGUG